Molecule: ribosomal RNA, 455 nt
Filed under: uncultured bacterium
Lineage: Bacteria
Description: bacterial SSU rRNA
Rfam family: Bacterial small subunit ribosomal RNA
Source: RNAcentral
UACGGGAGGCAGCAGUGGGGAAUAUUGCACAAUGGGCGCAAGCCUGAUGCAGCCAUGCCGCGUGUAUGAAGAAGGGCCUUCGGGUUGUAAAGUACUUUCAGUCGUGAGGAAGGUGUUAAGGUUAAUAACCUUAGCAAUUGACGUUAGCGACAGAAGAAGCACCGGCUAACUCCGUGCCAGCAGCCGCGGUAAUACGGAGGGUGCGAGCGUUAAUCGGAAUUACUGGGCGUAAAGGGCACGCAGGCGGUUAAUUAAGUUGGAUGUGAAAUCCCCGGGCUUAACCUGGGAAUGGCAUUCAAGACUGGUUAGCUAGAGUCUUGUAGAGGGGGUAGAAUUCCAUGUGUAGCGGUGAAAUGCGUAGAGAUGUGGAGGAAUACCGGUGGCGAAGGCGGCCCCUGGGACAAAGACUGACGCUCAUGUGCGAAAGCGUGGGGAGCAAACAGGGAUUAGAUACC